This 397-nucleotide ribosomal RNA is filed under the name Pylodictis olivaris. RNAcentral's name for it is "partial 16S ribosomal RNA". It matches the Rfam family "Bacterial large subunit ribosomal RNA", at positions 1993 to 2558 of the family's 2925-position model. The record is from RNAcentral. Lineage: Eukaryota; Metazoa; Chordata; Actinopteri; Siluriformes; Ictaluridae.
UGAAUGGUGGAACGAGGGCUUAACUGUCUCCCCUUUCAAGUCAAUGAAAUUGAUCUGCCCGUGCAGAAGCGGAAUAAAAAUACAAGACGAGAAGACCCUUUGGACUUAAGAUAUAAGAUCACCUAUGUCAAGAACUCAGUUAAACUAAAUAGCACCUGAUCCUAAUCUUCAGUUGGGGCGACCACGGGAGAAAACAAAGCUCCCAGCGGACUGGGAUAACCCCCCUAAAACCAAGAAAAACAACUCUAAGUCGCAGAAUCUCUGACCAAAAGAUCCGGCCACCUGCCGACCAACGAACCAAGUUACCCUAGGGAUAACAGCGCAAUCCCCUUUCAGAGUCCAUAUCGACAAGGGGGUUUACGACCUCGAUGUUGGAUCAGACAUCCUAAUGGUGCAG